This 407-nucleotide ribosomal RNA is filed under the name uncultured prokaryote. RNAcentral describes it as "bacterial SSU rRNA". It matches the Rfam family "Bacterial small subunit ribosomal RNA", at positions 355 to 776 of the family's 1533-position model. The record is from RNAcentral.
UGGGGAAUAUUGGGCAAUGGGCGAAAGCCUGACCCAGCAACGCCGCGUGAGGGAAGAAGGUUUUCGGAUCGUAAACCUCUGUCCUUGGGGACGAAAGAAAUGACGGUACCCAAGGAGGAAGCCCCGGCUAACUACGUGCCAGCAGCCGCGGUAAUACGUAGGUGGCGAGCGUUGUCCGGAAUUACUGGGUGUAAAGGGCGUGUAGGCGGGAAUGUAAGUCAGAUGUGAAAUCCCAGGGCUUAACCCUGGAGCUGCAUCUGAAACUAUGUUUCUUGAGUGACGGAGAGGAAAGCGGAAUUCCUAGUGUAGCGGUGAAAUGCGUAGAUAUUAGGAGGAACACCAGUGGCGAAGGCGGCUUUCUGGACGGUAACUGACGCUGAGGCGCGAAAGCGUGGGGAGCAAACAGG